This 491-nucleotide ribosomal RNA is filed under the name uncultured bacterium. Its description in RNAcentral is "partial 16S ribosomal RNA". It matches the Rfam family "Bacterial small subunit ribosomal RNA", at positions 29 to 506 of the family's 1533-position model. The record is from RNAcentral.
AGCGAACGCUGGCGGUAGGCCUAACACAUGCAAGUCGAACGGCAGCACAGUAAGAGCUUGCUCUUACGGGUGGCGAGUGGCGGACGGGUGAGGAAUACAUCGGAAUCUACUUUUUCGUGGGGGAUAAUGUAGGGAAACUUACGCUAAUACCGCAUACGACCUACGGGUGAAAGCAGGGGAUCUUCGGACCUUGCGCGAUUGAAUGAGCCGAUGUCGGAUUAGCUAGUUGGCGGGGUAAAGGCCCACCAAGGCGACGAUCCGUAGCUGGUCUGAGAGGAUGAUCAGCCAAACUGGAACUGAGACACGGUCCAGACUCCUACGGGAGGCGGCAGUGGGGAAUAUUGGACAAUGGGCGCAAGCCUGAUCCAGCCAUACCGCGUGGGUGAAGAAGGCCUUCGGGUUGUAAAGCCCUUUUGUUGGGAAAGAAAAGCAGCAGGUUAAUACCCCGCUGUUCUGACGGUACCCAAAGAAUAAGCACCGGCUAACUUCGU